UCCCCUGUGGUGUAACGGUCAGCACGGAUUACUUUGACUAAUUCGGACGAGGUUCGAUUCCUCGCGGGGGAGCCG
Molecule: transfer RNA, 75 nt
Filed under: Quadrisphaera setariae
Lineage: Bacteria; Bacillati; Actinomycetota; Actinomycetes; Kineosporiales; Kineosporiaceae
Description: Quadrisphaera sp. DD2A tRNA-Gln
Rfam family: tRNA
About the family: Transfer RNA (tRNA) molecules are approximately 80 nucleotides in length. Their secondary structure includes four short double-helical elements and three loops (D, anti-codon, and T loops). Further hydrogen bonds mediate the characteristic L-shaped molecular structure. tRNAs have two regions of fundamental functional importance: the anti-codon, which is responsible for specific mRNA codon recognition, and the 3' end, to which the tRNAs corresponding amino acid is attached (by aminoacyl-tRNA synthetases). tRNAs cope with the degeneracy of the genetic code in two manners: having more than one tRNA (with a specific anti-codon) for a particular amino acid; and 'wobble' base-pairing, i.e. permitting non-standard base-pairing at the 3rd anti-codon position.
Source: RNAcentral